UACGUAAGGACCGAGCGUUGUCCGGAAUCAUUGGGCGUAAAGGGUACGUAGGUGGUUAGAAAAGUUAGAAGUGAAAUCCUAUAGCUCAACUAUAGUAAGCUUUUAAAACUGCUCAUCUUGAGGUAUGGAAGGGAAAGUGGAAUUCCUAGUGUAGCGGUGAAAUGCGCAGAUAUUAGGAGGAAUACCGGUGGCGAAGGCGGGUCUCUGGGCAGUAACUGACGCUGAGGUACGAAAGCGUGGGUAGCAAACAGG
RNAcentral lists this ribosomal RNA (252 nucleotides) under uncultured bacterium. RNAcentral describes it as "partial 16S ribosomal RNA". It matches the Rfam family "Bacterial small subunit ribosomal RNA", at positions 524 to 776 of the family's 1533-position model. The record is from RNAcentral.